UCUGGUAACCAUAGCCAAGAGGUCACACCUGUUCCCAUGCCGAACACAGAAGUUAAGCUCUUGAACGCCGAUGGUAGUUGGGAUUUUGUCCCUGUGAGAGUAGGACGUUGCCAGGC
This 116-nucleotide ribosomal RNA is filed under the name Priestia endophytica. The record is from RNAcentral. RNAcentral also lists the same sequence under 2 other names. Lineage: Bacteria; Bacillati; Bacillota; Bacilli; Caryophanales; Bacillaceae.